UACGUAGGGUGCGAGCGUUGUCCGGAAUUAUUGGGCGUAAAGGGCUCGUAGGCGGUUUGUCGCGUCGGGAGUGAAAACCUCGGGCUUAACUCGGGGCUUGCUUUCGAUACGGGCAGACUAGAGGUAUGCAGGGGAGAACGGAAUUCCUGGUGUAGCGGUGAAAUGCGCAGAUAUCAGGAAGAACACCGGUGGCGAAGGCGGCUCUCUGGAACGGUACUGACGCUGAGACGCGAAAGCGUGGGGAGCGAACAGG
Molecule: ribosomal RNA, 253 nt
Filed under: uncultured bacterium
Lineage: Bacteria
Description: partial 16S ribosomal RNA
Rfam family: Bacterial small subunit ribosomal RNA
Source: RNAcentral